UCAUUUAAAAUUUGAGCUAUGAAAACAAUUUCUUAGUUUUUAAAUUGACUUUUGGAACUUGAAUUUGUAGAAGAAAAUUUUCAAAUUUUACAUAGUUUAGUAGUAUAUACCUGAUAGUCACGUUUAAAAAAGAGCUGUCUAGAAAAGUAUAUAUGUUUUUCCUGUGACAGAUUAUUGUCGUGAACAUUUCAAAUGCAAUAAAGGAACACCACACAAAUUAACUUAAAAAUUUUAUUCAAUAUGUAAUAUGUAUUCUGCAGAGAAACUAGUGACUUUGAUUCAGUUUUGUUUUACUGCAUUAUAAUUAUGGACUUUGGGGUGUUUGCAAUACUAGUUUUAAUCAACAUUGAUUUAAAAAAUAUCUGGAGCCUGGGCAAUGUAGUGAGAUCUCAAUCUCUGCAAAAAAGUUUUUAAAAAAUUAUCCAAAUGUGGCAACUUGUGCCUAUAGUCCCAGCUACUCAGGAGACUGAGGCAGGAGAAUCACUUGAGCCAGGGAGUUUGAGGCUGUAGUGAUAUAAUCAUACUAUUAUAAUUCAGUCUGAGUAAGAAGGCUGGAUGCUUGCCUGCCUUCUGCCUCUUCCAGAACUCAGGACACUCUCAUCCUGAGGUUUUGUGAACACUCUCUCCACCCACUUCCACAGGGUACAUUUUCAAAUGGCCCUUGAAUCCUUGGCACAUCUAUGAUUUGUGACCCAGUCACUCAAGUUUUGUAAUGGACAAUUGUGAAGGUGGGCACCUGAGGUAUACCAGACUUUGAAUAUGGACUCAGGUAGGCUAACUUUUCAAAUUGGGAUUUCAGCAGUUCUGGUGAUGUUUCAGAGAGUGCUCAAUGCAAACCUACUGCUCCCUGGUCUGUGUGGUAAAGCCCAACUUUUUGGUCUGACAGUCUACAUCCUGUGUCGCCUGCCCUGAAUUCACUUUUCAGCCUUUUCACUCAUGGUUCUCCACAUGCCUUGUCGAUGAAAACAUCCUGAUCCAUGGACAGAGGGGCUUUUGUCUCUCAGACUUACACAGCACCUUACUACCGUCUCGUUCUACUGUGUGCUCUUCUUUCCUCUUGCAGUCUUUAUCCCUCCGCUAGGCUUUGUUCUGGAGAACACGGGUUGCAUGUGAGUUAUCUAUGUGCCUCUGUAGUGCCUACCAGGAUUUGGACAUAGUUCAUCCUUAGUAAAGUUUGAUGACUGAAUGCUUGUGUCCUCUUGUAUCCAUCAUCAACUAUUGGUGGUAAGUUAUCAGAACUGGCCUGACGUUUGUAUGAAAUGAUACGUGGUUGGGGUACCAGAUUUAGCAAGCAAAAAUGGAGGGCACCCAGUAAAAUUUGAAUUUCAGAUAAAUAACAAAUAAAUUUUAGUGCAAGUGUGUCCCAAAUGCUGCAUAUGAACAUUUAUUCUAAAAAAUUAUUCACUGUUUUUCUGAAGUUGAAAUUUAAUGGGCACAUUGCAUUUUAUCUCCCCCCUUAGUUUGUGGCCUUGGCUGAAGUGACAUAUAUGGGCUAAUUCUGCUAUCCAAAAAUGUCACCCCACAUUCUGACUAUGUACUUUGGAUUUAUGGUCUUUGAUUAAGAUAAAGAUAAUCUUGGCAGAAGUCAUGCCUGAAGCUUUUUGUUAGCAGAUAACAACUUAACAAAAAAUAGCCAGAAUGGGGGGUGGAGGUGGGUGUCUGUCUUUAUUAGCUCUCUAGUGAAGCUCUGCCCCACACUGAGCACAGUGCUAGUCUCGGGGAGAACGAGGUAGAUAGUUCUUGUCUCACUUGAGGUGAGUGCACCUUCUAGGGCAGUAGUCUUUAUUACAGAACUUUUUUCUUCAGACUGUCCCUUAAAUACUGGCCAGAUAUGCAAUCUGUCCAGGUCCCAAAGCUAGAGGAGGCAGAACCUGGACUCAAAGCAAUAUAACCAUGCUCUCAACUCCACAUUAAGCUCCAUUUCCAGGAUGCUGUCCUUGGCCUCUGCUAUGGGCUGAAUUUUGCCACCUACUCCCAACCAAAAUUUUGAUGUUGAAGUGCUAAUCCCUAGUACCUCACAAUGUGACCAUAUUUGGAGAUAAGUUCUUUAAACAGGUGAUUAAUUAAAAAUGGCCAUUAGGGUGGGGACCUAUCCUGUAGAAUUGGUGUCCUCAUGAGAAGAGGAAGAGACCCCAGGGUAUGUGCACACUGAGGAAAGACCAUGUGAGGACACAGGGAAAAGGCAGCCAUCGGGCAGCCAAUAUGAGGCCUCAGGAGAAACCAAACCUGUGGCAUCUUGAUCUUGGAUUUCUAGCCUCCAGAACUGUGAGGAAGUACAUUUCUGUUGUUUCAGCCCCCAGUCUGUGGUACAGCAGGUACAGCAGCCCUAACUGACUAAGGCAUCCUUCCCCUCCCUCAUCUAGACCUCUUUUUGUUCACCUGCUGCUCCUCCUGAAUCCCCCACCUUUGUUGAUACGAGCCCCUUAAACAUAGUUGUCCUUUCCCCAAACUAGGAAAUCAGCCAAGAGUCCUGCCCUUCUCUUCCCUACAACCCCAACAGUAAGCCCUGUCCCUCCCAGAGACAUCAGUCAAAUCCUUGUCUCCCUGUUCAUCCCUAUUAUAUCACCUAUGAUUUGGAACACUGUUAUCUUUACCUGGAAAAAGACUCCCAAUCAGUGUUUGCAAUGUAGAUAUUGGAGGGCAGUGGGUUUGUCAAUCAUACUUUGAUGGCACAAAGUCUAUACCACCAUCUAAAAGAUAGUCCUGCCCAUUUAUUCCUUUGUUCAAAUUUCCUCACAAUAAAAUCUAACUUUGAUACACUCAUUGCAGAACACCAACACCUUCAUGAUCUGACUCUGCUCCCACCUCACAUGGGUCCUGCCUCACAUGGCCCUCACCUGACACUCCCUCUCCUCCCAGCACUGAGCCCCCUUCCCCACUGUCAGGUUCCCUGAGUUUGUCAGCUGCCUAUACUUUCUUACAUGCUGUCCUCCAUUCUGAAAUCGCCUCUUUCUUUGCCCAUUUGCUCAUUUGAGAUCCAACCAGAGUUUGAGUCCUUAGUGUGAGGACUUUGUCCUUCCCUUUGAUUAUUCUCACCACUUAGUUUGCAAUAAGUGCCUCAAGAAUUUUGAGGAGUAAAUAAAGGAAUGUGUCCCAAAGGCUUUAGCUCAGUGCCUCUCUAAAGGCAGCAGUUUUGCCCCCAGGGAACAUGUUCAGUGUCUGGAGACAUAUUUUAGGAGGAGUGCACAUAUCUGAUGGGUCGAGGCCAAGGAUGCUGCUAAACAUCCUCCAAUACACAGGACAACAAUGAAUGGUCCAAGUCAAAAGGCCAAGAGUGCCAAGUUUGAGAAACUCUGUCUUAGCUCUAGUCUUUACGUAAAUCAUCCUCAAGCCAAGCUCUCUGCUCCCUCAACUCUGCUUGUGCCUAUAUUGGACCUCUCAGGAAAUUCCUCUUUUUCCUUUUCCAUAUCGUUUAUUAGAUUGUGCUCCUUGAGGUCAGGAACCAUGAAUCACUCAGUCCUGUAUCUUCAUUGUCUGCACUGUGGCUUAGUAAGUAAUAGUUUAGUAGAAGAAUGGAUAGAGAAAGAAAGGAAUGGCAGAAGAAGCUUAUGGAAUAGUUCACCUCUUUAUGUUUUAAACUUAGGUCAGCUCUGGAUCUAUCUCUGUAUCUUGUAGUUCUAGUUAGAAACAAGGAGAGGGGCCAAGAGGUGAGUAUGUGCAAAACCUAUCGGCCAGGAUACUAGUUUCCAACAGAUGCUACACAACUGGCAUGCAUGUUCAUUUUUUUACUCAUUUCUACUCAAUAAUGACCAGAGUUUAUAUAGAAGGUGGAAAGAAUAAUCAUGUAAAGCACAUUUGUACAAUUAAAGAUGCUGCAAUUAUGAAAAUGUUCUUUAUCAGUGCUAUUCAAUACCAUAGCCCUGGCCACACAUGGCUGUGGAGCACUUGAGUGUGGCCCAUGCCCCUGAAGAGCUCAGUUUUUAAUUUUAUUCAUAUUAAUUGUUAUUAUCUUACAUGGCCAUGUGUAGUCAAUGGUUACCUUAAUGGGCAAUGCACAGCUGAAGUCUGUUUUCAGGCUGACCCUCUACACACCAUAGUCUUGGGAGUAUUUUAUUAAACUUCCUAUAGUUUAUUUUGGCCAGAGGAAGAUAACGCAAAGGUUUAAAAGAAAAUACAGUGGAGAAAUGGCCCAUCUUUCCACGAAACCCUAAGGUUCUGAGUCACAUCAUAAGUAAAUGGUGGAAGGAAGGCAGGUUUAGCUGGGCAGUCAUCGGAAAUCAUGAUGGCAAACCAGAUACCACACCCUCUGGCACUCCCCAAACUCAUUGCCCAUGGGACCGAAGUUAGUCCAAGUGCCAACUCGUGCCACACCAAUGCCUUGUAAGGACUCUUAAAUCCUAUCUGACCUUUGAACAGGUUCAGUGUGCUAUGUUCAAAUGGGAAGGAAUACAAAAUAAUUCUAGAAGAGAUCCAACCUGUUGAUAAAUUAAAGGUCCUAAAGAAGGGAAAAGAACAUCUGUCUGGAAUUUACUUUAAGGGGAUGUGAUUUUUGGGGGUAAGAUUAUCAUUAGGUUAUAAAGUAAAAUCCUGUACCUCAACUGGUAAAUAUUUCCUAAAUGCCUGUUGCUUGGAUCUUAGUAUCUAUAGAUACUGGGGGCAUACUUAAGAGUACUUUUAGAUGUAACCUCCAAAUUCCAUGGAGCUCAGUCUUUUAUAUGAAACAUAAUUUUUAAAAAAUGAUUGUUUUUAUUACUAUGUCACUUCUCUCUAAUGCUUUUGACAAAAUAUCCUGUGAUACUUGAUUGAUGUUUAUUCCAUUACUUGUUAUCUAAUUGUGGUAUAACAUCUCACUCUCUGUAAUAAGACAGAUUUAGGUGGAAAUGAGAUAAAUGCAUGUUCUCACUUUGACACUGUAAAGAAAGCCCUAAAAGAGCAUUUAAGAUAUUUAAUACCAAUAUUCCCUAUUCUGUUAAUGUUUUAAUAUUAAAAUUAGGUUACUUAAGGAAUGACUUUCCACGAUUAAUAUAUUAAUACUGUCCUACUAAAUACCCCUAUAAUAUAAAAUGUAAUAUAAAUACCUAUAACAUGAAAUAUUAAGUAUACUUGUAGUAUAAAGACCCUUUUGCUUAUAACUAUACCAUUCUUCUUCCAUUGGAAUUCCCCGUAGCUUUUCUCAGGGUGGCAGUAAGAUCAGAUUAGAAGUGUGAGUAAAAUAUUAUUACAAUCAAUUAAAGCAUUAGGCUCAUAAAUUGAUCAAUAAUUUUUCAAGAACAUCAUAGGUCAUGAUUUCUUUUCAUUUUGUUGAAGAAAAAUGUGAUAGCUAAGAUGAAAAGACAUGUUUAUUUUUGUGUCAGGUAUUCUGUGAUUAGUUAAUUAAAUAUUUUCAUCAGUUCCAGUGACCUCUUGUCUCUCAGCUGCAUAUUGACUUUCCCAACUGUGCCUUCCAUCCUUCUGGCUGCAGUAAGAGAAACCAGAUUUUCCUCAGCCACCUCCAGGAUCUUUCUUAUCUAACGCAGGAGAGCCUUCUGCCAGGGGGAUUGGCAAAGAAUAAACCCAAAGGUCUCCAUUUUUGUAAAAAGGUUCAUGGCAGGUCAGUUAUAUUUCAGUAUAUUUUUAAAAGGCGUGGUUGAGCUAAUUUAAUUUAUUCUGUUCAUUAAUUUCUCUUUUUUCACCUCCACCCCCUCUGAAUAAACGGCCUUCACAUGAGUCCAGUAUAGCUUCAAUACACCUUAUUCACAUGCCUUUUAUUGCAGCCGCAUUCCAGCCAGCUGGAGGUGGCCCGACUGCCUCAGCUUUCCCGUUUUAGCUCUGGAAAUGAUUUCAGCAUGGCAAAAACUUUUCACUGGCCAAUUUGGAAAACAGGAUUCAAUUUGUGAAGAAAGCUCAAAAUGGCAACUUAGAAUGAAAAAGAGGAUGGAGAAGGUUGAAGCAGGGAAAGAGCCACAGGGUGCAGUGGCUCACACCUGUAAUACCAGCACAUUGGAAGGCUGAAUCAGGUAGAUCACCUGACAUCAGGAGUUUGAGACCAGCCUGGCCAACAUGGUGAAACCCUGUCUCUAUUAAAAAUACAAAAAUUAGCUGGGCAGGAUGGCAGGCGCCUGUAAUCUCAGCUACUCAGGAUGCUGAGGCAAGAGAUUUGCUUGAACCAGGGAGGCAGCAGUGAGCUGAGAUUGUGCCACUGCACUCCAGCUUGGGCGAAGGACCAAGACUCCAUCUCAAAAAAAAAAAAGCUUAAUUAAAAGUGGAUUUAUGGUGGGCUUUGGUAACAGAUUUGUUACCAAAAUGCACUACAGACAGGCAGAUUCCAGAUUCCCAAGGCUGAUUGAUUUCAAGUCUAGGGAGGACAUAUUUCUAGGUAAAAGUUGUAUGUGUCUUACAGCUUUCUCUUUGGAUAUAUAUUUGAGUCUCCCCCAAGAGAAAAGCAAUGUCAUAUUUAAGUAUGAACUUACUUUAAUGAUAGGUGCUACUUAUAUCUCUACUAUGUUGUUUCUGUUAUAUGUGAUUUUUGUAUCAUUUAUAGUUUUUUUCUUAAGAGAACACUGAAUUUUCAAUAAUUUCAAAAGCCUGUGACACCUUCAGAAGUUAAGCAUGGAUCCUAACAAUGUAUAUGCUUAGCCGUAUCAUUAAGGCAUAACUACUGAAUGUUUACAGUCCAUGGGAUUUGUGGAAUUCUGUGGCCUCCUUGACCAUUUCAGCAUCUGGAAGAGGUGUUAAUGUUGUCAUCUGACCUCAGCCCUGGAUCCUCAUCUGUCUUCUAGCCCAGUGAUUCUCAAACUUCUAGUGUGCAUAGGAAUGACCUGGUAAUCUUGUUAAAACACUGAUCUUGAUCUCCACUCCCAGAGUUCUCAUUUAGUUGGUCUGAGUGGGAUCCAUGAAUUUGCUUUUUUAACAAGUUCCCUGGAGAUACUGAUGCUGCUACUCUUGCUCCCACAUUUUUAGAAUGCCUGUCCUAGUGGUUCAUCCUCAUCUUGACCCAACACUAAGAAAGUGGUAACCAAGUUUUAAAAAUUAGCCUCUCUGGUUAAAUUGGGAAAUCAAAUAAAUACUAAGUGACAGUUUAUUUUAAAUAACUUGAAAAUUUUCUUAUCCACCAGAAUUGCCCCUAACAGUUUCCCAAAUUAGCAUAAUCGAUUCUAGAAGUUCAGGGAUAAUUUGGAAUAUGAAUGGGCUGGGCCUUUGUACUGACAAAGCCAUUCGCAGCACCAGUUUGUUUAAUAUCCCAGGACAUUAAACUCCUCUGCUUUGGCUAUUAGAGGAAUAGUAGGUUGGAUCUGUGACAGCACAGUAUGCCCAUUUAGAUAUAAAUUUAUUUCUCAAUCCUUCUGAAGACAGCAGUAGUGAGGAUUUGAUUUGAUAUAAUGACACUGAAAAUAGAGAGGAAAGGAUGAGUGAAAACAACGUGUGUAAAUGGAAACCAUGUGGUUUAACUGAUACCUGUGGGUAAGAGGCACAGGAAAGGAAAGAAUCAAAGGUGACUGUACAUAUCAGGUAAGGAGAAUAGAUGGCAAUACCAUUAAAAGUGAGGAGUUGGCUUUGUGAAAGAAAGUAAGGUUGAUUUUUUAAAAAUAUAAGCCCAUACAUUUGUAACUGGUUGAUUUUCAGCAAGGGCACCAAGACAAAUCAGUGGGGAAAGAACAUCACAAAAAUAAACUCAAAAUGGAUCCUAGCUGGAAAUGUAAAAUUGCUAAAAUUGCUAAAAAUGCUAAAAUUGAGGCAUCAACUGUUCACAUUGACAUAGCUGGGGUAAAAAAUGAUAACACUUUCUUUUUGAAAACACAAUUGAACCUAAAUCUACCCUGUUAAAUUGGCGUCUGUUAUUUUUAAGUAAUUCAUAUGAAGUGUUAAAAGCUUAAUUAAAAGUGGAAUUUAUUGUGGGCUUUGGUAAAAGGUAUGUUAUAGGCAGAUUCCAGAUUUCCAAGGCUGAUUGAUUGAAAACACAGGUGAGAGAUACUCUUCCUGAACUUUAGUUAGGCAUAGCUUUCUUAGAUAUAACACCUAAAACACCAGCAACAAAAGAAAAAAAUAGAUAAAAUAGACUCCAUCAAAGUUAAAGACUGUUUUCAUAGGAUACCAUCAGAAAAGUGAAAAAGCAACCUACCAAAUGGGAGAGAACAUUUGCAAGUCAUAUAUCUGAUGAGGGGCCAGUAUCCAAAAUAGAUAAAGAACUCUUAUAACUCAAGAAUUAGAAGACAAAUAACCUAAUUGAAAAUAGGCAAAGGACUUGAAUAGACAUUUCUCCAAAGAAAACAUUCAGCUGACACAAAAGGAUAUGAAUGUGAAAAGAUGUACAGCAUUAUUAGUCAUUAAGGAAAUGCCACUCACAACCACAGGGAAAGACUACUUCACACCCGCUGGCCUGGCUGUAAUAAAAAAAGACCAUAACAAGUAUUGGUGAGGGUAUGGAGAAAUUGGAACUCUCAUACAUUGAUAAUGUAAGACCACUUAGCCACUUUGUAAAGCAGUUAGACCAUUUCUCAGGGUUCAGUAUAGGCACAUAUUUAAGAGAAAUGAAAACAUGUCCACAUGAAAACUUAUACAGGAAUCUUAGUAGCACCAUUAUUCACCAUAGCCAAACAGUGGAACUUUUGGUGGAGUAAUGUCCAUUAAUUUAUAAAUGGAUAAAUAAAGUGUGAUUCAUCAAACUGUGUCAUAUUAUUCAACCAUAAAAAGGAGGUACUAAUGGAUGCUCCAACAUGGAUGAACCUGGAAAACAUUAUGCUAAGUCAAAGAAGAUAGACCCAAAAGGCAGCAUAUUAUAUGAUUCCAUUUAUAUGAAAUGUCCAGAAUAUGGAAAUCCAUAGACACUGAAAGUACCUGGUAGUUGCCACGGGCUAGGUACCAGAAGUGGGGAAUGUCUGCUAAUGGGUCCAAAGUUUCUUUUUGGGUAAUGAAGUAUUCUAAACUUAGGUUGUGGUAAUGGUUGCGUAACUCCCUGAGCAUACUAAAAUCAACUUAGUUGUAUGUGAAUUAUAUAUCAAUGAAGAUUUUUUAUAGUAGUAAAAAAUCUUAAGAAACCAAGAAUAAAUGCCAAGGUAAAGUCCAGUGGAUGUUUGGAACUUGGGAGACAGGUCUGUGCCAGAGGGAAAUGUGAAGCUCCUUGCAUAGAAGAAUAGGUGUGCCAUGGAAGUGAAUCAGGUGUCCAGGGAGAAUAUGGAGGGAGAGCAUAAAGUUGUUGGAAUACCGAACCUGGGAGCACAGCUCUUUUUUUAAGGACCCAGAAGAAGUUAGGAGAAUGAUCUGAGAUAAGGAAGAAACCAGGAUGGCACAGACUAAUGAAAGUGAAGGAAGAGAGACAGGUUUACAGAAUAGGCAGUCACAAAGGGAAAUGUCAUGGAAGGACCCAACAUGCCACUGAGUUUGAUGUUUGGGAGUUAGUUGUUUUUCCAUAUAGAUGCAGUGCAGGUGGAAGCCACAUAAAAAGUUUUAAUCAGUGAAUGGAAGAUGAAUGAAGGCUUAAGGAAAGAAGCAUAUCAGCCCUCUCUUUUUGCAGGUUCUGCAUCCAUGGAUUCUACAGUACAAAAUAACAAUACAGCAAAAAACAAAAAAAAAUUUUUAAAUACCAUGUGCAGUGGUUCACACCUAUAAUCCCAGCCCUCCUUUGGGAGGCCAAGGUGGGAGUGCCCAAGGCCAUGGGAGCUCAUCUCUUGCGUCAGUGUGACCUGGAUGGGAGACAUGGAGUCAAAGGAGAUUAUUUUGGAACUUUAAGGUUUAAUGACUGCCCAGCUGGAUUUCAGACUUGCAUGGGUCCUGUAGCCCCUUUGUUUUGGCCAAUUUCUCCCAUUAAUGGGAACAUUUACCCACUACCUGUACUCUCAUUGUAUCUUGGCAGUAACUAACUUGCUUUUGAUUUUACAGGCUCCUACCUAGGUGGAAGAGACUUGCCUUGUCUCUUAUGAGACUUUGGACUUGGACUUUUGGGUUAAUGCUAGAAUGAAUUAAGACUUUGGGGUACUGUUGGGAAGGCAUGAUUGAUUUUGAAAUGUAAAAGGGACAUGAGAUUUGGGAGGGGCCAGUGGAAGAAUGACAUGGUUAGGCUUAUGUCCUCACCCAAAUCUCAUCUUGAAUUAUAAUCCCCAUAAUCCCUAUGUACCAGGGAGAGACCAGGUGGAGAUAGUUGGAUCAUGGGGGUGGUUUUCCCCAUGGUGUUCUUGUGAUAGUGAGUUCUCAUGAGAUCUGAUGGUUUUAUAAGUGUUUGGUCAUUCCUACAGCAUUCUCCUUCCUGCCGCCUUCUGAAGAAGGUGUCUUGUUUCCCUUUCACCUUCCACCAUGAUUGCAAGUUUCCUGAGGCCUCCCCAGCAUUGCUGAACUGUGACUCGAUUAAACCUCUUUCCUUUAUAAAUUACCCAGUCUCAGUAAUUAUAGCAGUGUGAAAAUGUACUAAUGUGGGAAGAUAGCUUGAGCCCAGGAGUUUGAGACCAGCCUGGGCAACACAGCAAGACCCCCAUUUCUUAAAAAAAAAAAAAAGCCCAGAAUGGUGGCACAUGUCUGUAGUCCCAGCUACUUGGCAGGCUGAGGUGAGAGGCUCAUUUUAGCCCAGGCAGUCAGAAAGGCUGCGGACAGCCAUGAUUGUACCAUUGCACUCCAGGCUAGGCCACAGAGCCUCUGUCUCAAAAGAAAAACAACAAAAAACUAAAAACUGAAAAUAAGUGCAACUAUUUACAAAAUAUCUACAUUGUAUUAUGUAUUUUGAGUCAUCUAGAGAUGAUUUAAAGUAUAUAGGAGAAUACAUGUAGGUUAUAUGCAAAUACUCUGCCACUUGACAUAAGGGACUUGAGCAUUCUUAGAUUUUUAUAUCUCCAGGAGAUCCUGGAACCAAUCCUCUGUAAAGACUGAGGGACACCUGUACGGAGUAGUUCUUAAGGAAUUUGGGAGGAAAAAGAAAGAAUAACUUGCUGACGGUUGAAGAAAGGUUUUGUUCUUGCUAAUGCCAAUGACAUUGUUUAGAAGGGCAAAUCUUAAGAUUUAAAGGCAGAAGGAAAGGAACCAGUAGAGAAUGAUAAUUGAUAGAUAAUGAAGGCAUAGCAGAAGAAAAUUCAUAACGGAAUGAAACUCUGGAUCCAGGUAUUAUAAACAUGUGGUGCCUCAUUCUCACCCUCACAGCGCCUUCUUCCUGUUUUGGAGGUAGCUGAACAUUAUAGUGUAAAUUUGGGUUUUUACUUAAUGAAAAAUAUACCUAGAAACACUGAUAACUUGUAAUUUUGUAAAGUGUUUCCAAAUCUGUGGCCUUCUAACACCUGGAGUAUUUGUAAGAUGCCCUCAGAGUACCCUGAGCUCAGAAUCCAGCACUGCCUCUUACCAGCUUUGGCAAAAUUUUGUAAACCUCUCCAAGUAUGUGUUGUCAUCUCUAAAAUGGUAAUGAUACCCACCUUCAAGGUUUUUGUUAAGAUUAUCGAAAAGGUAUUCUUGAAUAAUAUAUAUAGCUGCUAAAUGGCAAAGAACAGGGCCCUACAGUAGACUUUUCUGGGUUUGAAUCCAAGGCAAGUUGCUUACUCUCUCUGCAUGUCUGUUGUGCAUGUGCAUGUCUGCACAUCUGUGAAGUGGAUCUGAUAAAAGUACUUAUGUGGUGGUGUGAAUAAAUGAAAUACAUCUGUGUAAGUGCAGAGCCUGGCACAUCUGUAAGUUUGCUCAGCCACUGAAAGAAGUAGCAGCAGCAGUUGCUGCCACUUUUACUACUACUCAGAAUUAAAAUGCUAAAUGCAAAUAAGAAAAAAAAAUCUGCAAUUGUUAAUGAGCUCUAACCAAUAAGAAUGAGCUCAGCUAAUUUAAUUAUUUUUCGAAUUAAAGCCUGGAGCUGCUGGGAUAAAGUUUAAUAUUGCUAAAAGAGUCAAAUCUAAUCCUUGUUAUGAUAACCAGACAUUAUCACUUCUGACAUGGAAACUUCAGUGUUUAUUCCUGAGUCACUGGUGUUGAUAAAUCUAAUAAGAUAAAUACUGUUUUUGUUCUUGAUUUUAAAAAAUCAGUAUAAUUGAUUAAAAUGAAAUAAGUAAAGUGGUCAUUGUUCCUUACAGAACUGCUGAGUAAGGUGUACUAACUGUCUAUUUUUUAUUGAGAAUGAUGUUAGUAAUUCUAAUAGUCUAUUUUUUAUUGAGAAUGCUAUUAAUAAAGUAACUUAGAUUUAUAGGCCUCUGUAAAUGAAAUGUCUUAAUAAUAUAAAAUCUACUUGCCUUCACAACAACAGGGUCUCUGAUUUAUGCUUUAUUUCUAUCUAUGAUAUGUGAUGUUUUUUGAUUUAUCACAGAAUAAUAUUUGUGCCAUUUCUGAUCGUUAUCAUUUUUUAUUGAUAUUUAGUUGUUACAGUAAAAUUCCAACAGAAUUACACAACUGAGAAAGAAUGAUUUGAUAGGUUCUAAAAGUAUAUACCCUAAUGGAUUUCUAAUGGAGAUUGAACUUGAUGGCAGUAUGCUAAGUUCUUGAAGUUGGAAAUUAAUGUUCUAUUUUAAGGGGACAUUCUUGGCAUUGCUUUUACCUUUUGGGAGGAGGGGAGGAGGAAAAUCAUAACUUCUUCUUUUCUCAGACAAAUGACCAAGUAGGAAAUUUUUUAUGAAAUACAGAAACAUUCAGAUUGAACAGCAUGCUGUGAUUCCCGGCUCAGUUACUUUACUUUACCCUGCCCUUCACAUUUCUACAGACAGCAGUAAUCAGAGCGGUCUGGGAACCACUUUGUCUGUGUCCCUGCGGCCUAGUGAGUUCAGAAAACUCCUUUGUUUUGAGUUGUAGAACAAGAGGAAAGGGUAGAAUUGGCCCCUCUGCAUGCAGCUGGAUGCAUCAUGGUAUCCCAGGCCAGCCUGCCACUGCAGUAGUUUAAACAAGGUUGUGGUCUUCACUCUCCAUACCAGAGAAGGAGUGAUGUCCCAUAGAGAAUAGCAAGUAGAUGGUAACAUCAGACACUUAAACGUGGGAAGUGGGCAGCCCACAGACUCACAACGUGGACUCUGCCCUCUGAUACCUAGGGAACUUCGGAGACCAAGGAACAGUCACAACAUUGCCACGUCAUUUUCCAUCGUGAUAUUCAUGAACGAAAGCGUACUGUCUUAACACUAUGAAAACACUCUUCAUUCUUCUGACUCUGUAGUCUCCAGCUAAUGUCAGUUUAGAUAUAUCUCUCCCAUGGUUUCUCCUACUCUUCCUUGGUAUAACAAAGUGAAAUAAAGUUCAGAUUAAACAUUUCACUUCUUUACUGGGAUUUGCAGCACAUUAAUUUGAUAUAUGAUAAAGAUAAACAAGCAGAACCAGAGAGUGAGGGGGAGAAUCCACUUAUUCUAAGAUAGCUUUUCUAUUUCAACUUCAAAAUGAGAAAUAAUUAUAUUUAUCUCUGUAACAUGGAGAUAACUAGGCUGUAAAUUAAUUUCCAUCCAGGCUUUUCUAAUAAAUUACACAGUUUUACUCUUUUCCAGAAUCAGAAGUCCAAAAUGGCAUCUCUGGGUCAAGUGCUCUAAGCCUUCUGACCUUAUUUCUCUAUAACAAGGGCUUUAUCCCCUUAAAUUCAUAAAUUACUUAAAACAUCCUUUUAACAUCUCAGAGGAGAGGUGCCGGAUUGCUUAAAUAUAUCCUGUUUUAUCAGAGUGCUGCAUUCAUUUUUCACUCAGUUCAAUGUAGUUUCUUCCUUUAGUUAAAUCAGCAUUUCAAAAUUUAACAUUGAGUUAGGGAGUGUAUAGAUAAAUGAUAGAACUUUGUGACUGAAAUAGAUAAAUCUUGGGCCACUGCCAGUAGAUAAAUAAUGUACAUUCGAGCAUUUUAGAAGUGAUCAGCUAUGAGGUCGAGCAGCUCAGGGCACCGUAGCCUAAUGUACUUUUUAAUGAGUAAAUCAUUGCUAACUGGUGUGUUCAUAAUUUAACUCCUUUUUAAAUAUAUUGCCCAUGGGUUAUGCCCCUAAAAAGCAAGUGAGGUACCCUAAGGGCCAGAAGGGGACUCAGAACAUUUAUAAAUGAGCAUGACACUAAUGUGAACCAAUGGAUUAUUUGCAUUCCACUGCUUCAGUUAUCACUUAAUGGCUGCAGGCUCUGAUGGCAGGCUUGUGGACUGUGUUAUGUUAGCCUCAAAAAUAAAUGCUAAUAUCUGUGAAGUUUUCACAUUCCCCACCAUAUUUGGUCAAUUGUACAAGCUUCGCCCCUUAAGAGCUGCCAAGAGUCUUGUUGGCAAAAAUGCCACUUUGGUGAAGACAUAACUGACCACCAGUCCUAUUUGUAGACUUUCCCUGGUUGACACUACAUCAUUUCCUCCUCUUAGAACUCUGGGAUUUGUGCUUUUUAUUGAGUGUGAUCAUUUGAGUUAAAUAUAAAUUGCCCUCUUAUAUCAUGUUUUCCUUUGUUGGCAGUGUUUUGGUCUUUAGAUAAUUCUCCCAAGGGAAGUUCUCAACUGUAUAAGCUUAAUGAAUGGUUGUAUUGAUCUGCUUUUCACAUAGAUAUUUGAUUGGGUACUUGGGACCAUUUGGUAGAAAAAGUAAGAUAUAUAGUGUGGAAGGAAAUGACUGAGUAGUUCAGGUUCCUAUAUGUGGUUUACUUCAUGGCUUCUUUUCCUUAAAUAGUGGCUCUCACUCUAAUCGUAAUUACGGUAAAUCAAAACCUUUACUAGUUGAAAAUUGUAUAAUAAAUAUUAUGCAGGUGGCCAUUUUCUAUCCAUCUAUUCUAAAUGAACUAGGAUUAAAACUAGAUAGUAAAUUUUCUAAUGAUUGGGAAAUAUUUAGUUUUGAUUAAAUAAAUAUGUAAUAAUGUGAGCUUAUGCCCUUUAUUUGAUUAACAUUGAAACAAAGUAUAUGGGUCAAAAUUCCUUUUUGGUGUAUUUAAAUUAAUGUUAAAAUUUGUAUAUUCAUGUUUUAGUGAUAAUGCUUUUUUAUUGCUUUGCUCAGUAUACAAAAUAAUUUGUACAUUUUUAAGUAGGAGGAAAUACCUCUCGUUAGGUACUAGGGGAGCUGACCUGUAGUGCUGUAUCUGCUCCUUGAAUAUGUAUGUGUGUGAAAAUUGAAGACUUACCUAAAUUUUUUUCAGCCAAACAGGGUUUUAGAGUGAGCUCAUAUAUCUGAGAGUACUUGUAGCUUUUAAAAUCUAAGAUUUUAUAAUAUAUGUGGAAAGUUCUUUUUAUUAUUCAAAUUGUCUUUAAGGUAUUAAAUUUGUUUAAUUUUUUAUUACCAACUUUAAAAAAUCCAUUAAUCAAUGCAUAAAAAAGAUCAAUGGACAAUUGUGAUUUCCAUAAAAUUAUUAUUAUUUUUUUUUGAGACAGAAUCUUGCUCUGUCAUCUGGCUGGAAUAUAAUGGUGCUAUCUCAGCUCACUGCAAUCUCCACCUUAUGGGUUCAAGUGAUUCUCCUGCCUCAGCCUCCCGAGUAGCUGGGACUACAGAUGAGCGCCAUAACCACCCAGCUAAUUUUUGUAUUUUUAUAGAGAUGGGGUUUCACCUUGUGGGCCAGAAUGGUCUUGAUUUGUUGACCUCAUGAUCUACCCACCUCAGCCUUCCAAAUUGCUAUGAUUGCCACUAUACCUGGCCCAUAAAAUUAUAUAUUUAAAGAAAUAGAGUCCUACAUAUAUAUUUAUUUUUAAUGUCACAAACUGUGUAUAUGCAAAAAGAGUAAUCCUGUUCUCUAGGAAAUGGCUCAUGCAAGUACUGCCAGUGUAGCUACCAUGCUAAUUAGAAUAAAUACACGGUUUAUUCCAAUCCCCACAACAAUCUCUCAUGAUAGAUAUUUGUUUUGUUUUACCAAUGGAAAAAUCUGGAAGUAAGCCUAAAAGGUAUAAAGACCAGGGAAUUCUGAACUUGAAUAACCCAUGAGUUUUCUAUUAUGUUGCCUUAUCCUUAAAAAUCCAUUAGAUAAUGACCUCAAGGGAAUAUGACAUACAAUUUAAAUAUCCUGUCUGUGGCUACAUUAGUUCUUAAUAAAUAAUCAGCAGUAAUAAUUGUGUUUGGAUCCUCUUGCUCACUGACCCUUUGCUAGAUACUGCUUACAGUGUUGAGCUUCUUAAGAUUGGGUUUUAGAAUUCUUUUUUCUCCCUAUAUAAAGUCCUUCAUUUAAUUAUUCCUCACUCCUUUCUUUUUAAUUGAUUCUGUGUCAUGAUCACUCUAAUUGCAAAAUAUGGAAUCUUAUGAUUAACUUGUCAUACUAUUCUAAGAGCACCUCUGAUUACACUUUGGUUUAUUUCAUUCUAGCCAUUUAUUCAUAUUUGAGUGUAUACAGAUGUACUUAUGUACACACAUAUGCAUAUCCUUAUUUAUGCUCAACUAAACUGGGAAUUUUAACCAAUAUUUGCAUUUUGAAGCAAUAUUAUAUCUCCAUUUUAAAAAGCCAAUUAAAUACCUCUUUGAUGCAAUACACUGAGAGUGCUGUACAUCAGUUUUCUCUGCCUCCAGCUCUGAGAGACCAAGGGCCAUGAAGAAUUCUCAGACCCCUGAUGCCUGCUAAAUAUGCUUAAUUUAGACAGCAUAAACUGUAUGUUCCCAUUUGAAAAUACUACACCACGUUUUUAAGCCCAUAGCUUCCUUAGUUGAUUUAGAAAAGAAGUUCUAAAAAUAAAAUACUCAGCAUAAAUAAACCUACUUAUAUGUGUAUCUUUUAAAAAUCACUUAUAUUAUCUUUUGUGGACCAAGAAUUGGUGACAUAGGACCUUAUCUUGGAAAAAGCUCUGUAAUUUUUACUGUAGCUUUCAGGACUUUGAAUCUUACUGCCGUCUGUGGUUCUGGAAGGUUUUGUCUGCCUCUUUCUACUGGUAAUUCUCACCAGAUCUCUCGCUGACUGUUGGUCAUCUUGCCAAAUCUUGAGUGAUGUCUUUUGCUUCAUCCCGCUGUGCAUCUUGCAGGAAAGCAGAUGCUGUUGGUCAUUUGAGUAAUCUGAAUCCUGUUAUUUCCAGUAAAGUCAGUUGGAUUUCUGGGAUGAGAAUUGGAGCAGUCCUGUUGAAAAACUGGAAUGAGAGAUGAGAAGUUUGCUGAAAACAGAACAUUUUUGUGUGUGUGGAUUGAUUUGCCUCAUAUACCAAUUUUGUACUUCAGUCACAUCUUUGCUGUUUAAAAUAGAACACAUUAUUUACUCAGAUUCAAUUAUUUUGACUACAUUAGUAAUGUCAUUACAAGGCUAUGUGACAGAUUUAUAGUGACAUGCUGUAGGCACUUCAAAAUCUCUUAAACCUGUAUUCAGCCUCUUUUUUCCUAGAAACUAAGUGAUCUCAAUUUUCAGUUUUUCAUUCUCUGUAAUCUUCUAACAAUUUUGUUUUUCAGAGGGGGGCGGGGGUCUUGGUAAGUUAGAUUUCUCAAGACAAGGACUUGGCUACAAAUGGGUUAAAAUAUAGUGUGAAAUAUAGUUUCUCCUGUUUUGUUUUAUAUGCUUAUUUAUUUCAUGUUCUCAAUAUAUAUUUCAAGUUCAUUUUCUGAAUCAGUUCUAUUUCUUCAGGAAAAGGCUGCUUUUCUAAUUGUGUUUGGUCAUGUUUUAAAAAUGUAUUUAUUUUACUUUAGGUGCAUACUUUAUCUGGCAUUUCUCCCCAUGUUAUCCCUCCCCACCCCCUGCUGUCUCUUUCCUACCCCCCGAACUGCCCCCAGUGUGUGAUGCUCCUCUCCCUGAGUCCACAUGUUCUCGUUGUUCAAUACCCACCUAUAAGUGAGAACAUAAGGUAUUUGGCUUUCUGCUCUUGUAUCAGUUUGCUGAGAAUGAUGGUUUCCAGAUUCAUCCAAAUCUCUACAAAGGACAUGAACUCCUUGUUUUUUUCUGACUGCAUAGUAUUCCAUGGUGUAUAUGUACCACAUUUUCUUUGUCCAAUCUAUCAUUGUUGGGCAUUUGGGUUGGUUCCAGGUCUUUGCUAUUGUAUGCAGGGCUGCAAUGAACAUACACAUGCAUGUGUCUUUAUAGUAGAACAAUUGAUAGUUCUUUGAGUAUAUACCCAGUAAUGGGAUUGCUGGGUCAAAUGUAAUUUCUAUUUCUAGAACCUUGAGAAGUCACCACACUGUCUUCCACAAUGGUUGAACUAAUUUACACUCCCACGAGCUGUGUAAAAGUGUUCCUAUUUCUCCAUAACCUCUCCAGCAUCCAUUGUCUCCAGAUUUUUUAAUGAUCGCCAUUCUAACUGGCUUGAGAUGAUAUCUCAGUGUGGUUUUGAUUUGCAUUUCUCUAAUGACCAGUGAUGAUGAGCAUUUUUUCAUAUGUUUGUUGGCCUCUUGUAUGUCUUCUUUUGAAAAGCAUCUGUUCGUAUCCUUUGCCCACUUUUGAAUGGGGUUGUUUCUUUUUUUCUUGUAAAUCUGUUUUAGUUCUUUGUAGAUUCUGGAUAUCAGCCCUUUGUCAGAUGGGUAGAUUGCAAAAAUUUUUUCCCACCCUGUUGGUUGCCGAUUCGCUCUAAUGAUGUUUCUUUUGCUGUGCAGAAUCUCUGGGAUUUAAUUAGAUCCCAUUUGUCUAUCUUGGCUUUUGUUGCCAUUGCUUUUUGUAUUUGAGUCAUGAAGUUCUUGCCUAUGCCUAUGUCCUGGAUAGUUUUGCCUACAUUUUCUUGUAGUGUUUUUAUGGUGUUAGGUUUUAUGUUUAAAUCUUUGAUCCAUCUGGAGUUAAUUUUAGUGUAAGGUGACAGGUAGGGGUCCAGUUUCUGCUUUCUGCACAUUGCUAGCCAGUUUUCCUAACAGUAUUUAUUAAACAUGGAGUCCUUUCCCCAUUACUUUUCUUUGUCAGGUUUGUCAAAGAUCAGAUGGUUGUAGAUGUGUGAUGUUACUUCUGGGGCCUCUGUUCUGUUCCAUUGGUCUAUAUCUCUGUUUUGGUACCAGUACCAUGCUGUUUUGAUUACUGUAGCCUUGUAAUAUAGUUUGAAGUCCAGCAGUGUGAUGCCUCCGGCUUUGUUCUUUUUUGCUUAGGAUUGUCUUGGCUAUGUGGGGUCUUUUAUGAUUCCAUAUGAAGUUUAAAGUGGUUUUUUCCAGUUCUGUGAAGAAGGUCAUUGGUAGCUUGAUGGGGAUAGUGUUGAAUCUAUAGAUUACUUUGGGCAGCAUGGCCAUUUUCACAAUAUUGAUUCUUCCUAACCAUGAGCAUGGAAUAUUUCAACAUCUGUUUGUGUCCUCUCUUAUUUUGUUGAGCAGUGGUUUGUAGUUCUCCUUGAAGAGGUUCUUUACAUCUUUUGUUAGUUGUAUUCCUAGGGAUUUUAUUCUUUUUGUAGCAAUUGCGAAUGGAAGUUUGCUCUUAAUUUGGCUCUCUGUUUGUCUGUUAUUGGUAUAUAGGAAUGCUUGUGAUUUCUGCACAUUGAUUUUGUAUCCUGAGACGUUGCUGAAGUUGCUUAUCAGUUUGAGAAGAUUUUGGGCUGAGAUGAUGGGGUCUUCUAGAUAUACAAUCAUGUCAUCUGCAAAUAGAGACAGUUUGACUUCCUCCUUUUCUGAUUGAAUACCCUUUAUUUCUUUUUCUUGCCUGAUUGCUGUAGCUAGAACUUUCAAUACUAUGUUGAAUAGGAGUGGUGAGAGAGGGCAUCUUUGUCUAGUGCCUGAUUUGAAAGGGAAUUCUUCCAUCUUUUGCCCAUUCAGUAUGAUAUUGGCUGUAGGCUUGUCAUAUAUAGCUUUUAUCAUUUUAUGAUAUGUUCCAUCAAUACCUAGUUUAUUGAGAGUUUUUAGCAUGAAUGGCUGUUGAAUUUUAUCAAAGGCCUUCUCUGCAUCCAUUGAAAUAAUUAUGUGGUUUUUGUCUUUGGUUCUGUUUAUGUGAUGGAUUACUUUUAUGGAUUUGCAUAUGUUGAACCAGCCUUGCAUCCCCAGGAUGAAGCCUACUUGGUCAUGAUGGAUAAGCUUCUUGAUGUGCUGUUGCAAUCUGUUUGCCAGUAUUUUAUUGAAGAUUUUUGCAUCAAUGUUCAUCAUGGAUAUUGGCCUGAAGCUUUCUUUUUUAGUUGAAUCUCUGCCUAGUUUUGGUAUCAGGAUGAUGUUGGUCUCAUAAAAUGAGUUAGGGAGGAUUCCCUCCUUUUGUAUUGCUUCGUACAGUUUCAGAAGGAAUGGAACCAGCUCCUCUUUGUACUUCUGGUAGAAUUCGUCUGUGAACCCGUUAUCUAUGCCCUCACUUCCCUCCUUCCUGUUUUUAAAUUAAUAGUUGAAUAUCUUCUUUACUAAUGACAGAAAAAUAUCUUUUCCUAACAUUUCCUCUUUUUUCAUCUCAGAAGUGCAUUGCUGGAAUCAUCUUACUUUUGGUACGUAUUUUCAAGAUACUAGGAUUUUCUUAUUUUGUUUCUUUAUCCUGUAUUUCUACUUUAAUAUUUAAUCAACAACUCAUAUCCUUCUUCCUAGUUAAAUUUUUCUGCUAAGUACCUGUCUCUAUCAGUAGUGAUACAUAAUUUCAGUGAUUACCUGAAUACAGGUGGAGAGAUUUUAAUAGGUAGGUAGGGUUUUGUUUGACAUUUCCAACUCGAUACGGGCAUUGUUUCUGCUGCUGAAGUUAUCUUUGUUUCUGAAGACUUUUGAAGUAUACUAACAGAGGUUAGUUAGAAUUGGGAAACUAUUAGGAUCAACUAUAUUGCCUUCUGCCUUCACACAGAAGGGUAGCAUAUAAGUGUACACUUGCUGGUUACCCUGGUAGAAAUAACCAACUCUAGCAGCUGUUUGGAUGUUAACCACAAUUGCUAAGUACCAAAGCAGUACACUUAGAGUGUUAGGUAAAGCAAGAGUAAUAAGCAAUGCUGAAUUAAACAAGUGUAGUAAGCCCCCAACAUAGCUCACUUACAUUUUUAAAAAUUUAUUUGAAGCCAGGCAUGGUGGUGUGCGCCUGUAAUCCCAGCUACUCUGGAGGCUGAGGCAGGAGAAUUUAUUGAACCUGGUAUGCAGAGGUUGCAGUGAGCUGAGACCAUGCCAUUGUACUCCCGCCUGGGCAACAGAGCGAGACUCUGUCUAAAAAAAAAAAUUUCCUUUGUUGUUGUUUUAGAGACAAAAUCUUGCUUUGUCACCCACUUGCUGGAGUUUAGUGGCAGGAUCAUGAAUCCAUUCACCCUCAAAUGCCUGGGUCAAGAAGUCCUCCCACCUCAGCCUUCUGAGUAACUGAGACAACAGGUGUGCACCACCACACCUGAUUAUUUUUUUUUUAUUUUUGGGGGAAAUGAGGUCUUGUUCAUUGUUCAGGCUGAUCUUAAACUCCUGGCUUCAAGCAGUCCUCCCACCUCACCCUCUUAAAGUGAUGGGAUUACAGGUGUGAGCUACUAUACCCAGCCUAAAAAAUUUUUAUAAUAGUAAAAUAUGUAACAUUUCAUUCCUCUUUUUUUUUUUUAUUUUCACUGUAAGUCUUUCUACUUCUGUAAUAUAAACUCUAUUUAAGAAAUAUUCAUGCCAGGUGUGGUGGCUCACACCUGUAAUCUAGCACUUUGGGAGGCCGAGGUGGGCGGAUCACAAGGUCAGGAGUUCGAGACCAGCCUGGUCAAUAUGGUGAAACCCUAUUUCUACUAAAAAUAUAAAAAUUCACCAGGCAUGGUGGCUCAUGCCUGUAAUCCCAGCUACUCGGGAGGGUGAGGCAGGAUAAUUACUUGAACCCAGGAGGUGGAGGUUGCAGUGAGCCGAGACCGUGCCACUGUACUCCAGCCUGGGCGACAGGGUGAGACUCUCAAAAAAAAAAAGAAAAGAAAUAUUCAUCAUCAUUUAUCAUUAUUCAAUCUUCUCCCAUAUCAACUCAAAUCUACAUUGCAUAAUAAAAUCAGUUUAUUGUCUCUUAUUAUCUUUGUCACGUUGUCUUCACAUCUUGUAUGUAAGACAAGAUCAGGUUUUCUUGAAUUGGUAUAGGUAGUGCCUCUUACACCAUUAAAUACAGUGUCAGAGUUCAAAGAUGUUGUCAUCCUAGAAAGGCUGUAUUACUAGUGCCUAUAGUAACUUUCCAUCUCUCAGAACAUUCUCUGAGAUCUCAUACACAAUAUUGAGAUCAGAUCUCACUAUAUGUGAAGACAGAUUUUAGAGAUGCUUUAGAAAUACAGCAGAUGUCUGGCAAGAGUCAGUGGAUUAUUCUGUUAACAAGAUUACCAUCCAGUACUACAGAUUUCAGUACUGCUUAAAUACAGAGGAGUAAAAAUCAGAGAAAAUCUAUUGUGAAAUGCACUUCUUUAUAUUAUCUCAAUAUUCUUUUUUAAAAAAAACCUUUGGUAACAUAAUAAGAAAUAAGAAUAGGUUUCUGUCUUCAAGAAAUACUUAGCUUUUAGAGAUGCUUUAGAAAUACAAUAGAUGUCUGAUUUGGUUUAUCUGGCAAGAGUCAGUGGAUUAUUCCCUUAGCAUGAUUAUCAUCCAGUACUACAGAUUUCAGUGCUGCUUAAACACAGAGUAGUAAAAAUCAGAGAAAAUCUAUAGUGAAAACCACUUCUCUGUAUUAUCUCAAUAUUCUUUUUUUUUUUUUUAAACCUUUGGUAGCAUAAGAAAUGAGAAUAGAUUUCUGUUUUCAAGAAAUAUUUAGUUUUUAACUUAACAUAAAAAUCCCUAUAUUGGCUUGUAAUUAUGUUUUAUUUAAUAUAAAAGUGCCCAUAUUGGCUCAUUGGCCCGUAUUGGCUCUGAAGUCACUUAAAGUUUACUCUCCUAGCAAGCUUGUCUCCUUAGAAUCUUCAACCUAUUCAAGGGUGCAUUUAUUUCAAAGGUUUCUAAGAAUGCUGAUAAAUUCCACCACCUUUCUUAGUAACCUAUUUAAUGUUUUUUCUUCUUCCUCCUCACUUAUUUGUAAAUAUUUUGCUGUAUUUUAUACCCAAUUUUAAUUUUUACCUAAUUUUAAUUUUGUUUAAAUAGAAAAUACCAGUUAAUUAAUUUCUUUUCCAUGCCUAUAAUGAAAUUUUUGAAAUAAUUCUUGAAUUCUUCUUUUUUUUUUUUGAGAUGGAGUUUCGCUCUUGUUACCCAGGCUGGAGUGCAAUGGCACGAUCUUGGCUCACUGCAACCUCCGCCUCCUGGGUUCAGGCAAUUCUCCUGCCUCAGCCUCCUGAGUAGCUGGGAUUACAGGCACGCACCACCAUGCCCAGCUAAUUUUUUGUAUCUUUAGUAGAGACGAGGUUUCACCAUGUUGACCAGGAUGGUCUCGAUCUCUUGACCUCGUGACCCACCCGCCUCGGCCUACCAAAAUGCUGGAAUUACAGGUGUGAGCCACCGCACCCGGCCCGAAUUCUUCUUUUUAAUCUUUUUCUUUACUGCAACUUUUUGUAAUCAUUUAUUUAGCAACUAUUUAAAAACUACCAGCCAUUUGGUGAAACUAUUGUUUCACGUGGGGGAUGGAUAACAUGAUGAAUACAACAGAGCCUCUGCCCUCACAGGGCUCUCUGUGUAACAAAGAAGCAUGCUCACAGAAAUCAAAUAUAAUCACUGGUGGUGAGCAUGAUGAUAGCUCAGGGCCCAGGUAUAUUUAGAAAAGACUGGGGCUGUUUCAAAACCUGCUUUCUAUCAUUGACUCUUUUGAGUAUAUAUCUGCUGGGAAAAUCUUCACCCUUUGAGAGUCUUUUAAAUGAUAUUCUGAAGUGUUGUUUUCUGUAUAUCCAAUCACUUACUGUACUAGAUUCUGUAGAAAAUACAUUCUAUUCAUUUCUAUAUCAUGUUUAUAUUUACUUAUAAUUAAUAUUUUUAGGUAUUAAAUAAUUGCUGUUGGGUUUUCACAUGUACAUUUGCAUUUUGCAUCUCACACUUCUGUAAAUAUUACUUUCCUUUUUCUUACAAGCAGAUUUCCACAUGGCCGACAGAAAUGUUUGCAUAUACCCCACAGGAAUGAAUGUCACAUGUCUAUGUCUGUGCAGUUCAGGGCAAAUCUAUAGAGCCAGGACUUCCCCUUCUGUUGUCUACAUUUCUGAGGCUUAGCAUCUCAUAGAAUCCUUUAGAAAACCCAUCAUAUUAAAAACAGGAGGAUCUCUUGGAAGAAUAAUUUCACAUCGAUUGUUUUGCCUCAGUGACUUAAGGACUUCUUAAAAGAAUGAUAUUUCUACAUAUAGUUAUAUAUUACAUCUGCUGAUAGCAAGGAUGUAGCCAAUCAAAUGGCUAGAAGGGUUGAGAGUGCAUAGGUGUGGCUAGCCUCUAAAUCUUAAAAGUUUGCUCCAACUAGGAAAAUAUUUUGCUUUUAGAUCAUAUAAUUUGUAUAAUUUUACUUUCUAAAUGAAACAUCUCUCCAAAAAUGUGAAAAUUCCACUGACCCCACAUCCUGGGAUGUACAUAUUUAAGAUCCCUCAUGCCAGGUGGCCAGAGAAACAAUGCAGCUGCCAACCUUUUCAUUCUUUUAAUUUCUCUCGGUAUAUUACAAAUAGCCUACAUUGGACCUGCUUUUUUUUUUUUUUUAAGUUUUUGAGAUGGGGGUCUUACUCUGUCAUCCAGGGUAGAGUGCAAUGGUACAGUCAUAGCCCACUGUAGCCUCAAAUUCCUGGGCUCAAGUAAUCCUCCCACCUCAACCUCCUGAGUAGCUGGGACUAAAGGCAUACACCACCACACCGGGCUAAGUUUUAUUUUUUGUAGACAUAGGAUCUUGCUGUGUUGCCCAGGUUGGUCUCAAACUCCCUUCCUCAAGUGAUCCUCCCACCUUGGCUUCCCAGAGUCCUGAGAUUACAGGGGUGAGCCACCGUGCUCAGCUGGAUGUAUCUUCAUUGUACAUUUUUCCCCUCCAAAAUGUACUUUUUAAUAGAGAGAUAUCUAAGGUCUAAAGAGGAAAAUGGGAGAUUUGACAGAAGAAGGUGCACCUUCAAUCCUUCCCUUUAUUUGACUCCUUUUAUAUUUUCCAUCAAGGGUUCAACUGAAUAUCUGGGAAUCAAUAGCACACUGAGACUUCUGUGCCUCUGGCUGUUAGAUGGAAGAAAUGUUACGUGAAUUCAUUCCCUUCCAUCACUAGCUGGGAGGUGAUGGUCAGCCCCGGCAGGCAGAUUUCUAAGGCGACACUGAAGAGAGAAGGAAGUCUUUGCCUGCUGUCCAUCAGCAUGUCAGAGACCAGAGCCAGAACUUCUGAGAGGACCACAGUUCCAAAACAAAGUAGACCCAAGAUGUCAAGUCACACUGGUAUUUCAGCCCUAACUGUUCUCAGGGCAUUUUUCUAAUAGCGUGGUCACUUUAUCCUGGUUUGUCCACUGUAGGAAGGAGUAAAGAUGAUCAAAGAACCUCUUUACAGAGAAGAGUUAAUUGUCUUUUUUACUAGAAAUCAAAAAAGAAGGAAAGCAUUUGAUUUUAUGGUAUAUUCCAAAUAAAAGUUUGUCAGACUAACAAACAGAAAUGUCCCACACCUAGCAUUUAUAUUGUAUUUAUAUUUAUAUUGAGUUUCCAGAAGGCUUUCCUAUGAAUAACCUCCUUCAUCAGUUCUCAUAAUAGCACAAGUUAGUGUUGUUAUCACUGUUUGAAGUGAGGAAGAUAAAGAGCUCAGAAGUUUAGGAAUUGUCCAAGAGCCAGACAUGAACCCUAUUCUGCCUACUCCAACCUCCUCUCUUUCCUACCAGCCUAACAGCAUAGCCUCCUGACAAUCUGGGCAUAAGUUUAGUUCUUUAACAAACCGCCACAUUUAUUUUCAGAACCUAGUUAUUAUAUCAUAAAGAUUACAUCCUUAGGUUAAAGAAGUGUAAAACAAUAAAUUAUCUCUUUUGUGUUUCACUUCAAACGCCUUUUUUCUCAUUAGCUUCAGCUCCUGUGCAUAUCAGAAAACACCAUUAGAAGGUGUCCUUCACUGUAUAAUACAAUUUUUUUUUUCUCUUGAGAUGGAGUUUUGCUCUUGUCACCCAGGCUGGAGUGCGAUAAAAGGAUCUCAGCUCUCUGCAACCUCCAACUCCCAGGUUCAAGCAAUUCUCCUGCCAUAGCCUCCCUAGUAGCUAGGAUUACAGGUGCCCGCCCACCAUGCCCAGCUAAUUUUUCAUAACAAAAUUUUUAAAAGUGAAGAUACAGUAGAAGACUGCAUCAUUUAUGCUCACUUUUUUUUUUUUUUUUUGAGAUGGAGUUUUGCUCUUGUUGCCCAGGCUGGAGUGUGAUGGCGCAAUCUCGGUUCACUGCAACCUCCACCAUCUGGGUUCAUCCUCCAGAGUAGCUGGGAUUACAGGCAUGUGCCACUACACACACAUAGCUAAUUUUGUAUUUUUAGUACAGACUGGGGUUCUCUGUGUUGGUCAGACUGGUCUCGAACUCCCAACCUCAGGUGAUUUGCCCACUUCAGCCUCUCAAAAUGGGAUUACAGGUGUGAGUCACCAUGCCUAGCUAUGCUCACAUAUUUUUAAAUACCUGAUUAACAAUGUGCUAUUAUUAUUUUAAGCAAAUUUUUUUGGCAUAAUAUUUGACAGUAGAAAUUGUGAAAAUAUUUGGCAGCAGGAUAAAAACCCAUUGAAACCGUCUUGACAUAUAAUAUAGUGACUUUAAGAAUAGUGAUACGAAUCUUAAAAUCCUACAAUUUCUUAAGAUUUGAAUCUACAAAUAUAAUUCUAGUGUUUAAACAUUUUGAGACAGUAAUAUAGAGUGCUAUGGGUUUUAUUUGUGUGUGUAGGGGGGUUAGCUACAAUUUUUCUAUAUCUUGUGGCACUUAUAUACAUUUAAAAGUUUUAAAAAUUCUAACCUUCAGAGAUUGUGUUGGUACAUAUCUUUCCAGUCUGUGUAUAUGUGUAAAUUGAAAAAAAUACUUCAAUAUAAAAUGUAUUUGAUUAAAUCAGAAUUACUUAAAUAUGUGAAUAUCUCAAAUCAGAGAUAUUCAAAUAUCAUAAACAUCAAAAUUGAGGUUCUCUUAAUUUUAAUUUAUUAAUGUCAAAGGGCUUGUUUGAAUAGAACUUUAUUGGCUAUUAUUUUUUAUUUUGAAUUUUAAAUACCCAAGAAUAGGUAACCCAAAUAGAGGAUAGUCCCAUGUUUUCCAAAUGAGAAGAAACAAAAAAAUAUUCUAAGCCAAAUUCAGUUUAAAUUUUUUUAGAAUCUGGGCCAGGCUCGUUGGCUCAUGCCUGUAAUGUCAGCACUUUGGGAGGCUGAGGCAGGCAGAUCACCUGAGGUCGGGAGUUUGAGACCAGCCUAACCAACAUGGAGAAAGCCUGUCUCUACUAAAAAUGCAAAAUUAUCCAGGCAUGGUGAUGCAUGCCUGUAAUCCCAGCUACUUGGGAGGCUGAGGCAGGAGAAUUGCUUAAACCCAGGAGGCGAAGGUUGUGGUGAGCUGAUAUUGCACCAUUGCACUCCAGCCUGGGCAACAAGAGCGAAACUUCAUGGCAAAAAAAAAAAAAGAAUUGUGGACAAAAUGGUCAAGUAACUGUAAAUGUUUAAUUUACUGAAUAGCUACAUAGCUACACACAUUUGUAAAAUAACAUUAAAAUAUUUCCAAACAUUGGGAAAUAUUUUUACUUCUCAUAUUUUGAAAAACAAUUUUAUUCAGUAUCCUUUAACACAUCCUUGACAUCAAUGUUCUUAUUACUAUAAGACACUUUGUGGUCAUCUGUUUUCUAGAGCACAUUUUCACUGAGGGCUUUCAAAUUCAUUGCUGGUGCUGCCACAGGGCAUUCCAUCCCAAGCGGAGUCUUUACUGCAUAUAAGAGAAUGUUUGCUAUUUCAUUCAGGACAUUAAUAUGUAUAUUAUAUAUAUGUAUUUUAUAUAUACACGUAUAUGUGAAUAUUGUCAUGCUUCUCCUAGCUUCCUAAUAUAUUGCUUUUUUAAAGAGUUACUGACAUAAAACUCUUACAAGAUCAUACCCACAAUAAUGACAGACAUUUUUAUCUCUUGUUUUCAAGGGAUUCUCUUGUGUGACCCUUGAAGCAUGGAAAGUAGGAUUAAUACAUGUUAUUUCAGACUAAUAUGUUCUCUCUCUAUCACUCCAACAUAGUACUUAGUUCUUCAAAGUAAUAUAUGGAGAAACUGCCCCAUAAUAUAUGGGAUUUUGAUAGCACUUGAGUAUAAAGGGACUCUCUUUUUACUAAGGAGUAUAUGGGAGGAAGAAUUGAAAGUUUAAACCACAACUUAAAUGUUCACCUCUCCACCAUUUUUUCUAUACUAUCUUUUGAUUUUCACAUUUCUUUCAUUAAACUUUUUAUAUAAUUAAAAUAAACUUGAAACUCCAUCAAGCCACAGUGAAAAACUAAAAGUGAAGUCAAGAACAGAGCGACUCCUAGCACCGAGGCCAAGUGUGUGUGGAGUCCCUGUGGGGUGGCGCACCUCCAAGUGGGUCGUCUCUGGAGGCCAGUGCCCUGCUUGAGACAGUGGUCACCCUUCCUCCCCUUGGUCCGUCUGCGUCCUGCAAGCUCUAAUUACACCAUGGCCCUAAUACAGCUGUGGCCCUUGGGGAAUACAGAAACACAAUCGACUGAUUGUUUCAUGUGAAUAAAGUGAGUGUGUGCUAUAAGAGGAUUUGAUGGUUCUGGUGGGUUUCUGGUACUUUGGUAGAGGUUGGCACUUGUCUUUUCUUAGUAAAUUGUGGCCCCAUCUAAACAAGGUAGGGUGUCAUGUUUUCCUGCUGUCAGCAGCUUCUCCUCUUGAUUAAGCUUGUCUUUCACCAAGCUGGCAUUACUAAAGUACUUGAAAUCACAAAUAAAGAGGUAGUAUCUUUACUGCUUAAAAUUUAAGUGCACUGAUGUGGUAUUUGGGUCUCUCGGCUUUUUACAUAGUAAAAUCUUCAAUUUCCUCUCUUUUUCAGUUCUUCAGGCUUAGUGCUAGUUUCUUCAGUGCUGCCUCAGUAUUGUGGACAAUAAUAAAAUUACCAAGCAUGUCAGCUGGCAUUUCAUUUCUCAGUAUCUAAGCUUGUUGUGUGCCCUGUUUCCAGGGAAAAAGUGGCCCCAAUAUAGGCAUCCUUCUGGGAAAUUGUUGCUUAAAAUUCCAUUCCCUUAUUGCACAGUUUAGUUGUGGCAUUGCACUCUUCCAAAGGUGGGGCAGGAUGGUUGGCGAUGGAAUUAAGGAUGUGGAUGUGGAUCCAGCCCAAGUGAAAAUUUCCUUAAGGAAAAGUGGGAGGAGGUCAAAAGCAAAACACCCUCUAACAGGCAGCAAUGUUGCAAUGAAUAAUACUAAUCUUUAGGACUGGUAUAGGUAACUCUUCAUCUUCAAUGCAUUUUGCUAACAUUUAGUUUGUUUACUCUACCAACAGCCCUGUUGGGAGAUAAGUUUUUAUUAUAAUAGCUUUACGUUGCCUUUAAAGAACUGAGACAGAAUUUGAGGAGGCUAUUUACUGAGUGCCACCUAGGUUAUCCCCCACUGUCUAGGUGUCUCUAUCUUUCCUGUGAAACAAUUCACGCAGACCGAUGAAAGAGUGGGAAUUUCAGCGGUUCCCAGGAAGCUGUGUGAUACAAGAAUCUAUUGCCACUUGUUGCUCUCAAAAAGUACCAUCCCUUCUGCUCCUGUGGCUCUGUGGCUGCUUACAACAGCAAAGCGCAGAGACUGAAAACUUGUAAACAGCUGUCGGGGGCUGGGGGUGGGCAAAGUGUAACAGAAUAGGCUGCCAAAUUCCUGACUGCCAUAUGUGCUGUGUAAUACUUGUCAUCUCAAGUGAGUCAUUAAAAGGUUUCCCCUUAAUGGGGCUUUGAAGUGCUGGGACAGCUUGAGCGCAUCUAUAAAUUGCCACAAACAGCCCUCUGACUGAGUUAGCUAAUUGCUUGCUCUUUGACUUAUUAGGAUCAACUGAGUUAAAUAAUUUGUCACAUGUGUGGCUCGUAAUAAAUAAUGUGACCAGCCAGUUUGUGGUCUGUUUCAGUGAUAUAUUGUACCCCUUUUGGAUGUUGUCACAUGUAGCUAGCAAAUGUGGGCUAUUUUAUCCAUAGGACUAUCAUAUCCCUGAGUUCUGACAGAGCAAUUGGGGAAAAAAAUGUUAAAAGGAGUCUAGUUACAAACAAAUGUGUUCACUUCUUCAACCUUUCCAUAAAGCGUAAAUAUCAUUUUUCUUUGAUAUCACACAUCAUGCAAGCCAUAGGCAAAAGAAUAUAAAUUAUAAGUACUGAAUUAUUCUAGUUAAUAUGGACUGAAUUAUUACAGUUAAAAUAUUAUCUGUUCCCUUUGUGAAAACAAGCAGUCCCUGCUAGCCAGCCCAGUGGAUGUGCUCAGCCCAGCUCAGCCCAGCUCAGCUCAGCACUGCAUUCCAGCCAGUGUUUGUGCUGUGGGCUGUGCCAAGGGCAUUGUUGUCUACUGCCAGAAGACAGAGAGGGUGACAACUGGGAUAGAGAGGACCAUGGAUGAGAAGAGAUUAAUUUAAAAGAGAGAAUCUGAGAAGGUUUGGGCAUAUCUUCAUUGCUAAAAGUGCAAGCUGGAUGAAGUGCUCAUCCUUAGUUCUUCUGGAAGAGCUCAUGGAAUGGAUGUCCUAGUUUCUUACUCAGUGUACAUAGCUGUCACCACCAAGUGCACUUCUCUGUACAAACCUGCCAUACUGAUGAUGGGAUGUCAUCCAGCACUGAGGAGCAAGGAGAGGUGGAAAGAGGAAAAUUUAAAAAGUGGCCACUGAAUUAAAGCCUCAACUCAAAUGCCAGAGACAUCAGCCUGAAGAUGCCAGUCCUGUGUGGCCCUUAUCCUGGCAGGGUCUUCCUCUCUGCCCAGGAAAGCAGGCCCCAGGUACAACCUGUGAGAAGACAGCCACCACCUGCUUGGGGAGAAUGGACAGCAGACAGUUGUGGUCAGAACUGUCUCGCCUACCCUGCAGCAGAAGGACCCUCCAGGACAUGCCCCCUUCUAUCCAGGGUGUGUGGAAAUGUCCCAAGAAAUUAGUCUCCCUGCUUUUGUAACCAUAGCACAUCCAGAAGGAGGAGUUGGGAAUCCCCAGGGGCAAGACACCUCCUGUCCUUAGUGGGUCCUCCACAGAGUGUGAAGGGGAAUCACCCACUAAAUGUUCCUUUUCUGCAUGGUGGUCCCAAACACUGGGUUCUGUGCUGAUUUCUUUUUAUUUUUUGAUAUUAAAAGUUUCUUUCUGCCUAUAAGUAUUUCUGCUGCUUACUUUCUUCCCUUGCUGAGAAGCAGAAGUAAAAUAGUCUCAGGUUUUUCCUUGUUUCUAACCAUUGUCAGAAACGGCCUGAAUAUCUAAAGGCUGUGAGUCUCACACAGAUCAACAGUUCCAAAUACCUAAAUACCAGACAUUCACCAGGAGCAAGACCUUGACAACCCUUCAGCUCCUGCCACAAGUGAGUCUGAAAUAAUUGCUGUUGAAAGAAUGACCCCAUGCCACCCUCUUCUUUGUUGUCUAAACCCUCAGUCGGCCUUAAAUUAGAUUGCCGUAGAGAAACAUACCUGAGCCACAGAUGGAUCAGCUUCUCCUCUCAUUGUGCCCUUGCUGUGACUUACACCUUCGAUUUUUAUUUAGGAACUCUGUUUAAAAAAGAGGAACAAGGAAAGCAAAAAUCUGUGACUUUGAAAACCUUCCCACUUGUGUUAAUCAGUAUCCAUAUAUGAGAUCUUAGGUACCUAGCGCCAGAGAAAAGCAUUCCUGAAAGAACUAGUAUUUUUCUUUUUUUUUUUUUUGAGGUGGAAUUUCGCUCUUGUUUCCCAGGCUGGAGUGCAAUGGCACGAUCCCGGCUCACCACAACCUCCGCCUCCUGGGUUCAGGCAAUUCUCCUGCCUCAGCCUCCUGAGUAGCUGGGAUUACAGGCAUGCGCCACUGUGCCCAGCUAAUUUUUCUGUAUUUUUAGUAGAGAUGGGGUUUCACCAUGUUGACCAGGAUGGUCUUGAUCUCUUGACCUCGUGAUCCACCCGCCUCGGCCUCCCAAAGUGCUGGGAUUACAGGCGUGAGCCACCGCGCCCGGCCUGUAUUUUUCUUUUAUAUAAGCUUCAUGAACUGUCUCACCCAGCAGGGCCUUUUCUUGCUUCGGUUGCUUCAUCUUCUCAGAGAGUGAAAAGAUGGUGCUCAGAAGCUUGAACCACCUUACGCAAAGCCCUGGUGCAUUUACUUGUGGUCAUGGAUGGUUUCAGAUCCCUAUUUUAAUAUUUCUCUUGCACUUUAUUAUUUCAGUUGUAGGUGUUCCCAUUGUAAGAAUAUUAUCUUGGCUGGGCGUGGUGGCUCACGCCUAUAAUCCCAGCACUUUGGGAGGCCAAGGCAGGUGGAUCACAAGGUCAGGAGAUCGAGACCAUCCUGGUCAACAAGGUGAAACCCCAUCUCUACUAAAAAUACAAAAAUUAGCUGGGCAUGGUGGCGCGUGCCUGUAGUCCCAGCUACUUGGGAGGCUGAGGCAGGAGAAUUGCCUGAACCCAGGAGGUGGAGGUUGCAGUGAGCUGAGAUCAUGCCAUUGCAUUCCAGUCUGGGUAACAACAGCGAAACUCCAUCUCAAAAAAAAAAAAAGAAUAUUAUCUUAAAUUGUUUUUAGAAGGAGAGUGGAUAUAAAUUAUGAGUAAUUAAUUAAAAUGAAUAUUUUAAACUUACAAUAUUCAUAGUAUUUUUCUGAUUUCAAAUAAUAUAAAAAUACUGCUUUAUAAGAUUCUAAGUUAUAGAGCUACUUUAUCUGGAUAACGAGCCUCUGAAUUCACAACCAUACAUAAUGCAUUCUGCACAUUCUGGAGGUACUCAUUUAUUUGUAACCUUUGAAGCACAUUAUACUGGGAAGAGCCCUACACCUGAGUUCAGAGAUUUAGGAAUGAAUUCUAACAUUGCCACUUUGAUACCUUUGAGAUAAAAUUUUUCAUCUGUAAAAUUAUUAAAACUCAAUGCUAAAAAUUAUUAAAUAAUGUAGACAUGUCUAUCUCAGUGCUCUGCAAAAUGACUCUCAAUUUCCUUCCAUCCAUUUUUGCUCCCCGGAUGCGAGGCAAUUCUGUGAUGAGGGGUCUAGGAAACUGAGUGCAUUCAAUCCGGAACACUGCGGUCUUCCUUGGUUCAUCCAUGUAUGUAUUUACCCCAUAUUUACUGGUGAAUAAACGUAUUGGGUAAACAUAAUGGCAGAACAGCUGUUGAGAAGGAAAGUUAACAUUUAGGAGCCUCCCUUCCUAGACCAUCUUUUGGGGGAAGCACCCAUCCACAGACACAAGGGACACCUACAAAUAACACAUCCUGCCUUCUGUUACCAGUAUUCCUGAAUGUGUAUUUUCUUUAUCAUUUUACCUCUCAGAUAAUUUUAACUUCUGUUCUGAUUUGUUUUCUCAGAUUUUUCUUUUGAUUUACUGACUUAUUAAACAUCUUAGUCAUGCUUAUGAAUAAUUCACAAUUACCUAAUUAAUAGAGGGAAAUUUUCUCUUCUCUCCCUAUCCUCUAAGAUAUGUGUCCACUUAUUUCUAGAGAGCUCUGUGACAGGAGCUUCUCCUUCAAUGCUUAGGCAAUGUCCAGGGUUCCGGUUUUUGGCCAGGUAGGUGUCAGUAAGCUGGUGAAUGUUAGAAUGAAGAUGUUCUGGUAGUCUGUGUCCACCAUGUGGUAAAACCAAAUAAAUGAAUUCUAGAUUUGUACAAAUUGCUUCUGUCUAUAUUUGCCUGCACAUUCUAUUACAUCUGUCAGACUGACUUUAUCUUACCAAUCAAUACAUUUUUAAACAAGCGCCUAAUUGCUUGUAUUGCCAUGUACUAGUAUAAAUAAAAUACGUCUUGGUUAAUGUGUCACAAUGGAAAAAAAAACUCUUUUUAGAAAAUGUUUGAAGAGAUUUAUUUAAUUACUCUUAAAAUUACUCCUUAGUUGGCUCUAUUAGCAUGUCAUAUAAGAAAAUGCAAUAUGUGAACAUUUUAACUUUUAAUAUGGUCACAGUUUAAAACUUUUCUGAGUUCAAAGUAAUUUUUGCCUAUAUUAAAGAAUUCACCAGAAUUAAUAUUAUCAGAAUGGAAUACAAUAAGUCUUUGUAAAUUAUUGUAAGUGAAUUGGGAAAUGCAGCUGACUAUAUACGUGCAGUUUGUCAGGAGCAUUUUUUUUUACAUAAAAUGAAAUACAACACUGGCUAUUUUCACUUUUUAAAAAUUGCUGUUAAUUUAAAAGUUAACAAAACAAUCAGUUAUAAACUAAGGAAUAUAUUGUUGCUGUCAUCCAGUGAGCAUGGUGUGUGUUAGAUGAUUUUCCUUCCUGAGCAGGACAUGAGCAAGCAUACUGUCCAUGCUGUAUGUGUUGACCAUGGGGAUUCAGGGGUGCCCGGGGCACUGUGUGGCAUGUGUACUCCCACAGGUUCAGCAGCCUCUGCUCACCUCGCAGGCCCUCUUUCUUCUGUUUUCUGGGACGUUGAUGCUGUAGUGUGGCCCAGAGCUCUUAACCAAACACAAUUCUUGCAUUACCUUUUUGAAAUUUAAAAAUAAAACUUUUAUAUUGUAACUACUACAUGUAUAAAAGCUUAAAUACUUUCUUUUUCUUGGAAAAUAGCAAGUUUAGUUGUUGAACUUCAGGAAGCAAUUCAGAGUGGCCCACUGAACUGGCUGCUGGUCAGGAGUAAACUGAGACCUGCCCUUUAAUAAAUAGAAAACCAAAUGAUUAGCAGCAGAAUUAGCUCAUACUCACCACUAACUACCUGCUCUCUGUAUGGCACUCAGUAGCUCCAACCACUUAACAUUUUUAAGCCUUUUUCCCCCUCUGUAAUGUAAACUUUGUGAAGCUCAGGCCUUUUAAAAAUGUAUACCCUUUGCUAAGUAAGCUUGAUACAAUAAAAUCUUUGUUCUCUGCAGCAUUGCAGAUUCAUAUAUGUAUAUACACACAUGCACUGUCUAAUAUUUAUCUGGUCUGGAAUAAGCAUUAAUCUUUAAUUACUAUAUAAACAUUUUAAACAGGUGUGGAAUAACUGCACUCUCAAAAAUGCAGUGUUUAUCUCCUUGCUGCCUGAUGGCAUCAGCCCCACUGCCUGACAGCUUUCACCUCCCUGUGCUUGAGGUGGAAACGGAGAGGCAGUGGGUAAAGGGCAAAGAAAUGCCCCAAAUCCCACAUGAAUCAGAAAUUUCCAGUUAUAAAUUAUGCACCACCAUAACAUCCUUUACCACAGUUUGCCAGCCAGGAAUUGAGUUCGGGGUAGUGUUUUUCUGUGUUGGUAUGGUGUGGGGCUGGGGGCUGUAUAUAUAGCCAUGCGUUUUUUUUCUUCCUGUGGAUUGUACGCCCUCAGCCGUCUUUUCUUGGGGCUGUGCACGGAGCCUGUGGUGUGAGGAGAUAUAAAGCAGCAUUUUUCUAACUGCCUUUGGAAACAAUGAGGGCUCUGUUAACAGGAGCCCAAGCCUCUGCAGACUGCCUCGCUGCGCAGAAUGACUGGUGGAGCCCAGGUUCAAAGCCAUUGGCCUCCAAGUGCUUUAAUUCAGCAUUAUUUUUGCUUCUCUAACCUCUUUUUUCCUUUCACUCUUCUUUUUUUCUUUUUUAACCUAAGCAUUCUGAGGUCUCCUUGUUUGGUAGGGAACUGAGCGGCAACUUUUUGUAAUUAGAUUAUACAUAAUCAAAUGAAGGCUUGGAUAUUUUUAAAUGUUAUUUAAUCUGCUUCUCCUCUUCUUCCUUCAUGGAUUUUAUCACUCUAGCUUAAUUUGUUAUAAAAUUUCAGCUCAUUUUUGCCUGGUACCAGGUUUUCCAGUUUAAAAUAAAAUAGAAAAUAACAAGACAACAGAUAUUUUCAGCAGUCUUUGUUCUUCCUUGUAAUAAAAACAAACUCAAUUCUGUAUUAGACUUAACACUAAGUAGUUAUAAUAUUCCUAGUAGUAAUUUUUCUGCUAUUACAAAUCUGUUAGGUUAGAGAAAUGAAAGGGAAAUACAAAAUAAAAGGUUCUAUAAUUAAGGAGAAAAUAAAGAGGAAAAGUUCUUAAAAAAAAAAAAACCUUAAUUGAGGAAUAUUUCUUACAGAAAGAAGUUGUCAGUGGUUAAGUGCUGACUGGUGAAGUUAGGAUAUUUUGGUCAAUUUAAAAUGAUGAUCCCCGAGGAGAGAGAGAUGAAAGCAUGGAGUUGGGGAGCACGGACCAUGGCAUUUCUGUGCUCUGGCAAUAAAAAUGUAAACAUUCUUUCUUGUUCGGUGAAAAACUCUAUUUUCUGUACUAUGUUUUACAAAUGAGAUAUGAAAACAAGGCAAAGGAAACAAUGUUCAAAACUUUUUAACAUCUCACACUAUUGUAAACUCAAGAUAUCAUAUGAAAUUUGACUUCAUACUUGGGGUCUUUCUCUGUUUUUGGGAGUUUGCUGCUCAGCUUAGCUUCUGACAAGCCUACUUUCUGCUCAGAGGAGAGAUCAGCUUUCCAAUUUGUCAGGCGAUAGGCAGUGGGGUGGUGCACUGACAGAUCUGGUUCUGAUUUUUAAGUGGUGUUAAAAAGGUCAAGGUUCACAUUUUUCCCAUUUUAUCGUGAGUUCAUCACCAGCAAAUCUGCCUUUGCCACAUUUAGUCAGCACUGCUAAAUGAAUGAAGACCAGAAAUGGGGAUCAUGGGUUCGCUUUCCUCUCUGGUUAUGUACUAGCAUCUGCUACAGAAAAAGAAAAGUUCAUGUCAUCAUAGAGUGGCCCUGGCUUCGUAGUUUUGACUGGUAGUCUGAUUAUUUAAAUGUCUAGUUUACAUUUCUUAUUUAUAGUGAAAAUAAAUAGCUCCCUAAUUUUAAUGUUUGAAGAUAAGAAUGGAGCGCUAUUUUAUUAAUCCAUCAUUUUUCCUUUGUCAUGAUUCUUUAAGUUUACACUUCUGUUUUGUAAAAAUUUGUGAUAUUGAAGUUAUUUUUUUUCUAACACUAAAGUUAACGAUAGCUUCCCAAAUCUCUGCUUUGAAAAGAUGAAGUAUCAUUUUUUGUAGUAAUACUAGUAAAUAAGAAGAAAAGUUUAUAUAAAUCUUGAUAUUUAUAAUAUUUUAUCUCCUUGGAAUUGUUUGUUGAACUGAUGAUAAACUAGAAAGUGAAUUUAUUUUUGCAAAAGAUGACAAAACUUCUAUAAAUAAAACCCACCGCUUUUAGAGAAUUUAAUUGUAUCAGUUGAAAAUGGCCACACUUUUUUGCUAGUUUAUUGGCUAAUUUGUUUGAAAUUGAUUAAUGCUUUUUUUUAAAUGACACAUUCGAAAAUAUAUAUUAUCAAACUUUUUUUUUUUAAUGUCGAGAUAAACGUAAAAACUUUAAAGUUUGGUAAUUUGUGAUUUGCUAAAAUGCAGAGAUGUAAAGAAAUGUACAUGUGUGUGAGAUGUUUGGCUUUUAUUGGCUUUGUAAUAGUGAUAAAGAUAAAGUGAUUUAUAGAUUAUCAAACUACUAUCCUGUUUAGACACAUACAUUAAGAUGUUCCUGUGUGAUCUCAGACGACCUUGUAAACCUGCCUAAAUCUUUAAUUUAAAGAAGAAUUUCAUUUAAAAGAUGUAAAAGAAGCUUGUGGGAGGUGUCAGAAUUUUAAAAUUUCUACUAAUAUUUUAUUCACAAAAAGCUAACCAGGUACUUCUUGUAAACUGAGAGUUAUUGAAUAAAAUUACUAGGAGGCUUCUCACCUUCCCCAUUUAUAUUGGAACACACACACACACACACACACACACACACACUCAUGCACACACACACAAUAUUUUUCUGUGUUUAUAAGUGCUAUAUAAGGAAUUAAUAUGUGGAUGCAUUACAUACUACCUUGGAGUUUUAUAGCCAAAUGUUUGUGGGUGCUGUUUCCACUCCCACUCUUCUAAAACACAAAGAUGUACUUAAAUAAGGAAAAAUAUACCCUCUGAAGUGAAAUCCCAAAAACUUUUUUUUACUUGCUAGAAUUUGUGCUAUGGUGAGUUUUCCUAUACAUGUAGAUGAAACUAAUGAUUAUGGGUGAUUUUAACACCUCCUAAGAGCUAAUUGGUAGUCAUUUCAUUAAGACCCCCUUACAGCUACACAGGUAAUAAAAAUCAUUGAUGCAAUAGAUAACAGUCUUUUGAAUUUAAUGUUUAAAAUCAGAGUUACUAAAAAAAUUUCUUUCUUUUCUGCAGAAUGAAAAUGCAAACAUUUUACAUGUUAAAAAGUAGAAUAAUGUGGUUAGUUUAGCUUUAAACAGUUAUUACUCAUAAUGAAUUAUCUGUACCUUCAGUAUUUAACUUAUCUAAUUUUAGAGAUGUUUUCUCAAUGUUUUGUAUAAGUUGUUUUUACAGGUCUUAAUUUGGAAGAGAUAGUGUUGAUUGGAAGACUUACUCGUACAGUGUUAUUACAUGCAUAAAAACUAUAGCUCUCCCACCAAUAAAUUUUAUGUUAUCCCCAUUAUUUUAUUCUAAAGAAGAAUAUAGAUCACCAGUACAACAUAAUAAGAAGUAUGCAGUUUUAUACCCAGAGAACUAUAUGAAUCAAACGUUAGGUGUUUUCAAGGUAAUUUGACAGAAUUGUCAUUCCAGGAUAUUGCUGAAUGCAGCUGGGAAAGGCUCUUUGGCAGAGACUAAUCAGUGCAAGCUCUCGCAAGUUGUGGAAAUAUAGUAAUCACAGAAUCCUUUUAUGAACAGUUCUAACUAAUACAAAGAAUGUUUUCUUGAGACACAGUUGGUAUAUUCAGCAGAUUCUCUUUGAUAGCUUGAUACACUGCACUUAGGGUGAAUAAAGCAGUGGUGUGUGUUGCUAAUAGAUUUCAGUGAUGUCCCACCACCGAAUUCGAAGCUGUGCCAGCAGGAUCCUUUGUCUUUUCCUGUUACCUCUCGUUCAAGGUGUUAUUUAUGUUAAGGAAGAACCAUUAUUUUAGUUUAAAAUAUUAAACAAAAUAUUUUUAUUUCUAUUUAAACACUGAUGGAUCACCCACUGCCUCAAAAAUAAAUAAAUGAGCUUCGGCAUCAAACACCAUUAUUUUUAUUUGUCUGGUUUACGAUGACUGCAAAGUCCCAGUGUGGAAUUAUCUAUUCUUUCAUCAUCAUCAGCUCCCUGCUGUAGUUAUUGUCUGUAAAUACCAGUUAAGUACUCAAGGAUUUAAAGUAUAAUGAAACUUAGAUGGUUGGGAAAGUGGUUGAAGUGAAUGUCCUCCCUGAGGCUUUUUUAUUAUUUAAAAGUUUGGGUAACUCCAUUGUUCUCUUAUCCUAAAUAUAUUUGAUAAUACCUGCUAUCAGUUUGGAUUUUAAGAAACAUAAUUUUCAGUGCAACAGAUAAAAUGAAUUUUAUUUUAUGUAGACUUUGCUAUCUACACACUUUUUCAGAGGUGAAGUUAGAAAAGGCAAAAUGUGUUUAUAAAACCCUAGCCCCACCUGUGACUGGGGACUAAAGUGCAUUUGUUCCAAUUCUCUUACGCAGGCUUCUCCACAAAAGAGGCCAUGACACCAGGUCAGGAGGCUGAUAGGAAGCCAGAUCACUCCAGCCAAUUAGCCCAUUUCCCUGUGACCUAUGGGAUAUCUCUUCCUUUUUCCUUUUUUUUCCUUUUUUUUUUUUUAGGAGAGAAAGCAGUGAUGACCUUUAGCCACUGACAUUUCUGCUUCAUGCCCUAAAAUUAGAGGAAUCUGAUCAGCCUGGUUAGUGCUAGCAAUCCAACUCUGUAGGCUGGAAUUCCUACUGGAACAGGCUCUCCUGAUUUACCCCAAAAAUGUAGUUUCCAAGAUGCCUACCCCACUGGCUAUGUGAUAAAAUGAAACCCCACACCAUCCCCACAUGCACCAUACUGGACUGGCCCCUCCUGGUUCUCUAGACCCUGUGAUUCUCAGUCCUGUUUGUUCAUUAUGUAGACCUUUCUUUUGUUUUGGUUAAAUAUGUUUCAUCAUCUCUUCCCAUUUUAUACACAUGUCUCCUCCCAGAAUGAACACUAACUCCAACACAGGACUGAACCCAGAACCUCAGAGAUGUCAGUUGGCUUCCCACUCCUCUACUCACUGAGGGUGCUUUCCCCUUGUGUGCAUGUCACCUUCUAGGUGAUUCAUAAAACUCUCCUCCAGUGAUCUGACUCAGAAGCAUACAUCUUACUUAGUAGUUUAACAGUGCACUAACUGGAAGGCAGAGAAAAGACAAGACAGAUUAUGUUUCGGUAACUCUGUUCUUGAAUGGAGAAGCAUGACAUUUCAUUGCCCUAACGGUGGGUGUGUGAGUGAGAGGGUGCUGCUGACUGGCGCUGUUAGUAAAGCAGGACCAGGGAAGGCACCAGCCCUUCUGGGCACACAUCACACACACAGACCUGCCCAGGUUCCUCUCUCCUUCCCAUCAGUGUGUGCCUGCCAUGUAACUCAGCAAGUUGGAGAACUUCUUAGCUUAUUUAAUCUUCUGAAAGUACCCUUGGAUUUUGCCUUCCCAUCAAAUUCCUACUACCCAAACCUUGGACCAGCCUUUCUCUUCUUCACCAUUGACAAUGUGAGAAGACUCUUCUCAUCCUUUUUUCUGGAGCACCAGACAUAUAUUGGUGAAAGAUAUCGGCCAUUUAGGCAGGUGUAUUGAGGUGUAACUAAUAUACAGUUAAAUUUACUGUUUUUAGUAUAUAAUUCUAGGAUUUAAAAACUGCAUAUAGGCCUGUAACUACCACGAUAAUCAAGAUAUAGAACAAUCCAUCAUGCACAAAAUUCCCCUGAGCAUCUUCAGAGUCAGCUUUCUCCUCUCUCUUCCCAACCCCUGCCUAAUCUCUGAUGUUUUCUUCCCUACUAUACUUCCUUUUCCAGGAUAUCAUAUAAAUGGAAUAAUCCUGUAGGUAACUUUUAGUGUCUAGCUUCUUUCACUUAGCAUGUGCGUUUGAGAUUCAUCCAUGUUGUGUAUAUCAGUAGUCCAUUUCUUUUUUAUUGCUGAGUAAUAAUCUGUUAUAUAGAUCAACUUAUUUUUUAACUUCAAAGCAAAAUGGUAUAAUUUCAUUAUGAUUUUUAUUACAUUAUCACAUUUAUAUGUAUUCUUAACAUUUUAAGUUACAUAUAAUUAAAGUCUGAGAUAUGAUAUUUAGUUUUUAAUUCUCAUAUUCCUUUUUUAAACAUUGUUAUAUAGGGUUUGGUUUUGUUUUUACUGUUAUUUUCAGUUUAUCUUAUUCACUAUAGUAUGAAGUCUAGAAGGCCAAUGGGAAACACAACUGUCUUCAGGAUAAUAUAUAGGUCAAUCUGUAUAAUAGUCUUCUACUCCAAUCAUAUUAAAGUAAGAUUUUCUAAUUUCUU
Callithrix jacchus (white-tufted-ear marmoset) is the source of this 40606-nucleotide long non-coding RNA. RefSeq lists it as uncharacterized. The record is from RefSeq and is a predicted model, not a curated record. Lineage: Eukaryota; Metazoa; Chordata; Mammalia; Primates; Cebidae.